Molecule: ribosomal RNA, 429 nt
Filed under: Pseudomonadota bacterium
Lineage: Bacteria; Pseudomonadati; Pseudomonadota
Description: Proteobacteria bacterium partial 16S ribosomal RNA
Rfam family: Bacterial small subunit ribosomal RNA
Source: RNAcentral
UGGGGAAUAUUGGACAAUGGGCGAAAGCCUGAUCCAGCCAUGCCGCGUGUGUGAAGAAGGUCUUCGGAUUGUAAAGCACUUUACGUUGGGAGGAAGGGCAGUAAGCGAAUACCUUGCUGUUUUGACGUUACCGACAGAAUAAGCACCGGCUAACUCUGUGCCAGCAGCCGCGGUAAUACAGAGGGUGCAAGCGUUAAUCGGAAUUACUGGGCGUAAAGCGCGCGUAGGUGGUUCGUUAAGUUGAAUGUGAAAGCCCCGGGCUCAACCUGGGAACUGCAUCCAAAACUGGCGAGCUAGAGUAGGGCAGAGGAUGGUGGAAUUUCCUGUGUAGCGGUGAAAUGCGUAGAUAUAGGAAGGAACACCAGUGGCGAAGGCGACCACCUGGGCUCAUACUGACACUGAGGUGCGAAAGCGUGGGGAGCAAACAGG